GAGUUUGAUCCUGGCUCGAGAUGAACGCUAGCUACAGGCUUAACACAUGCAAGUCGAGGGGAAACGAUAUUGGAAGCUUGUCUUCGAUAGGCGUCGACCGGCGCACGGGUGAGUAACGCGUAUCCAACCUGCCACCACUUGGGGAUAACCUUGCGAAAGUAAGACUAAUACCCAAUGAUAUCUCUAGAAGACAUCUGAAAGAGAUUAAAGAUUUAUCGGUGAUGGAUGGGGAUGCGUCUGAUUAGCUUGUUGGCGGGGUAACGGCCCACCAAGGCGACGAUCAGUAGGGGUUCUGAGAGGAAGGUCCCCCACAUUGGAACUGAGACACGGUCCAAACUCCUACGGGAGGCAGCA
This 354-nucleotide ribosomal RNA is filed under the name uncultured bacterium. Its description in RNAcentral is "bacterial SSU rRNA". It matches the Rfam family "Bacterial small subunit ribosomal RNA", at positions 9 to 353 of the family's 1533-position model. The record is from RNAcentral.